CCGCGAGGUGGAGCAAAUCUCAAAAAGCCGUCCCAGUUCGGAUCGCAGGCUGCAACCCGCCUGCGUGAAGUUGGAAUCGCUAGUAAUCGCGGAUCAGCAUGCCGCGGUGAAUACGUUCCCGGGCCUUGUACACACCGCCCGUCACACCAUGAGAGUCGGGAACACCCGAAGUCCGUAGCCUAACCGCAAGGGGGGCGCGGCCGAAGGUGGGUUCGAUAAUUGGGGUGAAGUCGUAACAAGGUAUC
This 245-nucleotide ribosomal RNA is filed under the name uncultured bacterium. Its description in RNAcentral is "partial 16S ribosomal RNA". It matches the Rfam family "Bacterial small subunit ribosomal RNA", at positions 1255 to 1500 of the family's 1533-position model. The record is from RNAcentral.